Molecule: unclassified non-coding RNA, 389 nt
Filed under: soil metagenome
Description: partial contains 5.8S ribosomal RNA, internal transcribed spacer 2, and large subunit ribosomal RNA
Rfam family: 5.8S ribosomal RNA (bases 1-120)
Source: RNAcentral
GAUGAAGAACGUAGCGAAAUGCGAUAAGUAAUGUGAAUUGCAGAAUUCAGUGAAUCAUCGAAUCUUUGAACGCACCUUGCGCUCCUUGGUAUUCCGAGGAGCAUGCCUGUUUGAGUGUCAUUAAAUUCUCAACCUUAUUAGCUUUUGCUGAUAAUGGCUUGGACUUGGUGGUCUUUUUGCUGGCUUUCAUUAGUCUGCUCCCCUUAAAUGUAUUAGCCGGUGCCCCGCAGUGGAACCGUCUAUUGGUGUGAUAAUUAUCUACGCCGUGGACGUCUGCUAUAAUGGGUUUGCGCUGCUUCUAACCGUCUCUCGGGACAACACAAAUGACAAUUUGACCUCAAAUCAGGUAGGACUACCCGCUGAACUUAAGCAUAUCAAUAAGCGGAGGA